Molecule: ribosomal RNA, 387 nt
Filed under: uncultured bacterium
Lineage: Bacteria
Description: bacterial SSU rRNA
Rfam family: Bacterial small subunit ribosomal RNA
Source: RNAcentral
AUUGAACGCUGGCGGAAUGCUUUACACAUGCAAGUCGAACGGCAGCACGGGGGCAACCCUGGUGGCGAGUGGCGAACGGGUGAGUAACACAUCGGAACGUGCCCAAUCGUGGGGGAUAACGUAGCGAAAGCUACGCUAAUACCGCAUACGAUCUACGGAUGAAAGCGGGGGAUCGCAAGACCUCGCGCGAAUGGAGCGGCCGAUGGCAGAUUAGGUAGUUGGUGGGGUAAAGGCUCACCAAGCCGACGAUCUGUAGCUGGUCUGAGAGGACGACCAGCCACACUGGGACUGAGACACGGCCCAGACUCCUACGGGAGGCAGCAGUGGGGAAUUUUGGACAAUGGGCGCAAGCCUGAUCCAGCCAUUCCGUGUGCAGGAUGAAGGCCU